Molecule: ribosomal RNA, 2883 nt
Filed under: Helicobacter pylori UMB_G1
Lineage: Bacteria; Pseudomonadati; Campylobacterota; Epsilonproteobacteria; Campylobacterales; Helicobacteraceae
Description: bacterial LSU rRNA
Rfam family: Bacterial large subunit ribosomal RNA
Source: RNAcentral
CAAGCUUUUAAGAGCAGAUGGCGGAUGCCUUGCCAAAGAGAGGCGAUGAAGGACGUACUAGACUGCGAUAAGCUAUGCGGAGCUGUCAAGGAGCUUUGAUGCGUAGAUGUCCGAAUGGGGCAACCCAACUAAUAGAGAUAUUAGUUACUCUAAUAUAGAGAGCGAACCUAGUGAAGUGAAACAUCUCAGUAACUAGAGGAAAAGAAAUCAACGAGAUUCCCUAAGUAGUGGCGAGCGAACGGGGAAAAGGGCAAACCGAGUGCUUGCAUUCGGGGUUGAGGACUGCAACAUCCAAGAAAACGCUUUAGCAGAGUUACCUGGAAAGGUAAGCCAUAGAAAGUGAUAGCCCUGUAUGCGGCAAGGCGUUUUUAGGUAGCAGUAUCCGGAGUAGACCAGGACACGAGGAAUCCAGGUUGAAGCCGGGGAGACCACUCUCCAACCCUAAAUACUACUCUUUGAGCGAUAGCGAACAAGUACCGUGAGGGAAAGGUGAAAAGAACCGCAGUGAGCGGAGUGAAAUAGAACCUGAAACCAUCUGCUUACAAUCAUUCAGAGCCCUAUGAUUUAUCAGGGUGAUGGACUGCCUUUUGCAUAAUGAUCCUGCGAGUUGUGGUAUCUGGCAAGGUUAAGCGAAUGCGAAGCCGUAGCGAAAGCGAGUCUUAAUAGGGCGAACAAGUCAGAUGCUGCAGACCCGAAGCUAAGUGAUCUAUCCAUGGCCAAGUUGAAACGCGUGUAAUAGCGCGUGGAGGACUGAACUCGUACCCAUUGAAACGGGUUGGGAUGAGCUGUGGAUAGGGGUGAAAGGCCAAACAAACUUAGUGAUAGCUGGUUCUCUUCGAAAUAUAUUUAGGUAUAGCCUCAAGUGAUAAUAAAAGGGGGUAGAGCGCUGAUUGGGCUAGGGCUGCUCGCCGCGGUACCAAACCCUAUCAAACUUCGAAUACCUUUUAUCGUAUCUUGGGAGUCAGGCGGUGGGUGAUAAAAUCAAUCGUCAAAAGGGGAACAACCCAGACUACCAAAUAAGGUCCCUAAGUUCUAUUCUGAGUGGAAAAAGAUGUGUGGCUACUCAAACAACCAGGAGGUUGGCUUAGAAGCAGCCAUCCUUUAAAGAAAGCGUAACAGCUCACUGGUCUAGUGGUCAUGCGCUGAAAAUAUAACGGGGCUAAGAUAGACACCGAAUUUGUAGAUUGUGUUAAACACAGUGGUAGAAGAGCGUUCAUACCAGCGUUGAAGGUAUACCGGUAAGGAGUGCUGGAGCGGUAUGAAGUGAGCAUGCAGGAAUGAGUAACGAUAAGAUAUAUGAGAAUUGUAUCCGCCGUAAAUCUAAGGUUUCCUACGCGAUGGUCGUCAUCGUAGGGUUAGUCGGGUCCUAAGCCGAGUCCGAAAGGGGUAGGUGAUGGCAAAUUGGUUAAUAUUCCAAUACCGACUAUGGAGCGUGAUGGGGGGACGCAUAGGGUUAAGCGAGCUAGCUGAUGGAAGUGCUAGUCUAAGGGCGUAGAUUGGAGGGAAGGCAAAUCCACCUCUGUAUUUGAAACCCAAACAGGCUCUUUGAGUCCUUUUAGGACAAAGGGAGAAUCGCUGAUACCGUCGUGCCAAGAAAAGCCUCUAAGCAUAUCCAUAGUCGUCCGUACCGCAAACCGACACAGGUAGAUGAGAUGAGUAUUCUAAGGCGCGUGAAAGAACUCUGGUUAAGGAACUCUGCAAACUAGCACCGUAAGUUCGCGAUAAGGUGUGCCACAGCGAUGUGGUCUCAGCAAAGAGUCCCUCCCGACUGUUUACCAAAAACACAGCACUUUGCCAACUCGUAAGAGGAAGUAUAAGGUGUGACGCCUGCCCGGUGCUCGAAGGUUAAGAGGAUGCGUCAGUCGCAAGAUGAAGCGUUGAAUUGAAGCCCGAGUAAACGGCGGCCGUAACUAUAACGGUCCUAAGGUAGCGAAAUUCCUUGUCGGUUAAAUACCGACCUGCAUGAAUGGCGUAACGAGAUGGGAGCUGUCUCAACCAGAGAUUCAGUGAAAUUGUAGUGGAGGUGAAAAUUCCUCCUACCCGCGGCAAGACGGAGAGACCCCGUGGACCUUUACUACAACUUAGCACUGCUAAUGGGAAUAUCAUGCGCAGGAUAGGUGGGAGGCUUUGAAGUAAGGGCUUUGGCUCUUAUGGAGCCAUCCUUGAGAUACCACCCUUGAUGUUUCUGUUAGCUAACUGGCCUGUGUUAUCCACAGGCAGGACAAUGCUUGGUGGGUAGUUUGACUGGGGCGGUCGCCUCCUAAAAAGUAACGGAGGCUUGCAAAGGUUGGCUCAUUGCGGUUGGAAAUCGCAAGUUGAGUGUAAUGGCACAAGCCAGCCUGACUGUAAGACAUACAAGUCAAGCAGAGACGAAAGUCGGUCAUAGUGAUCCGGUGGUUCUGUGUGGAAGGGCCAUCGCUCAAAGGAUAAAAGGUACCCCGGGGAUAACAGGCUGAUCUCCCCCAAGAGCUCACAUCGACGGGGAGGUUUGGCACCUCGAUGUCGGCUCAUCGCAUCCUGGGGCUGGAGCAGGUCCCAAGGGUAUGGCUGUUCGCCAUUUAAAGCGGUACGCGAGCUGGGUUCAGAACGUCGUGAGACAGUUCGGUCCCUAUCUGCCGUGGGCGUAGGAAAGUUGAGGAGAGCUGUCCCUAGUACGAGAGGACCGGGAUGGACGUGUCACUGGUGCACCAGUUGUUCUGCCAAGAGCAUCGCUGGGUAGCUACACACGGAUGUGAUAACUGCUGAAAGCAUCUAAGCAGGAAGCCAACUCCAAGAUAAACUUUCCCUGAAGCUCGCACAAAGACUAUGUGCUUGAUAGGGUAGAUGUGUGAGUGCAGUAAUGCAUUUAGCUGACUACUACUAAUAGAGCGUUUGGCUUGUUUU